UACGUAGGGGGCAAGCGUUGUCCGGAUUUAUUGGGCGUAAAGAGCUCGUAGGCGGCUCACUAAGUCGGAUGUGAAAACUCCAGGCUCAACCUGGAGACGCCAUUCGAUACUGGUGUGGCUUGAGUUCGGUAGGGGAGCACGGAAUUCCUGGUGUAGCGGUGAAAUGCGCAGAUAUCGAGAGGAACACCUGCGGCGAAGGCGGGUUGCUGGGCUGACACUGACGCUGAAGCGCGAAAGCUAGGGGAGCGAACGGG
RNAcentral lists this ribosomal RNA (254 nucleotides) under uncultured bacterium. RNAcentral describes it as "partial 16S ribosomal RNA". It matches the Rfam family "Bacterial small subunit ribosomal RNA", at positions 524 to 776 of the family's 1533-position model. The record is from RNAcentral.